CUGAGUUCUCCCUUUUGUUGUAGUAGGCGUCUUGCGGGGGCACGGGAUGUACGGGACAGGCCUCUCCCUAAACAUAGAGAGAUAGUGCUAUCGUGCUGACCUUGUUGCAGAGAAAACAGGAGAAGAAGAAGGAUGAUAAAAGAAUGUGGAAAUGGCCAAAUAAGGCACAAUGUUAUCUGGUGUGAACUAAUCAGAGUGGGACAUGACAGCACGGUUAUCUAGGUAAAAAUGUAUAUAAGCUGUGUUUAGUAGUGAAUAAACGCCAUUUGCCUCACUUACUCCUGGGGUCUGGGUGAGCAUCUGGCCCCGACCUGGUAAAGGGUCGGUUUCGCCCAGCAGUAAGCCCUACAUGUGGACAGAGGACGAACACCGGACGAGCGAACGGAGACUACAUGCAACAAGUGGUGACCCCGACGUGAUCUGUCUGCUGAGGGUGGCUGCCCGGCGUGCCCGUGACGCGGAGAAGAGCCUGUGAGGUGGCGGCAGGUCGCAUACGUAACAAUGGACCAAGUCAUUAAGACCGAAGCCAACUCCAGAACAACUGAGGGACAGACGAUGGGAUCAAGAACCACUCGUCAAGAGGAGCACUACACCUGCAACGCUGACACUUCCGAUGUUGCUGAUAUUUAUGGUGUCCAUGGCGAUUACAGAGUGUCACAAACAACUACAAUGGACACAAGAACAUAUGCAGAAAAUUAAAGAAGAGCGUGAUCCCUUUGAAAGCUGGCUGGACGGACUGUUUGGGGGAACGGGUUCAUGGUUAAAGCAAUUGCUUAAAGCUCUCGCAGUAGGAUUUGCAAUCUUUGUGUGUAUUCUAAUCCGUCUUCCAUGCUUUGUAGGAUGCUUGCCUUCAACGAAUGAUGGACAAGACUUUUGACUAUCACAUUGAGUAUCAUAGAUUGCGUGAAAAAUUAUAGAGGGGUUUAGGUUGUUGCGUUCGUGCUGUAACGGGGCAAGGCUUGGCCGAGCACGGAAAAGAAUUCCCUGUUGCUCUGAUGAUUGCUUAAGAACUGUAGUAGAAAAUAGUAGGAAUAGUGUGCUGAAAUAUAUUUAGGAUUAGGCGUUUUGCGCUGCUUCGCGAUGUACGGGUUAGGUGUGUGUGUAAGUAGUAUUUAGCUUAGGGAGGGGGAGAUGUUGUAGUAGGCGUCUUGCGGGGGCACGGGAUGUACGGGACAGGCCUCUCCCUAAACAUAGAGAGAUAGUGCUAUCGUGCUGACCUUGUUGCAGAGAAAACAGGAGAAGAAGAAGGAUGAUAAAAGAAUGUGGAAACGGCCAAAUAAGGCACAAUGUUAUCUGGUGUGAACUAAUCAGAGUGGGACAUGACAGCACGGUUAUCUAGGUAAAAUGUAUAUAAGCUGUGUUUAGUAGUGAAUAAACGCCAUUUGCCUCACUUACUCCUGGGGUCUGGGUGAGCAUCUGGCCCCGACCUGGUAAAGGGUCGGUUUCGCCCAGCAGUAAGCCCUACAUGUGGACAGAGGACGAACACCGGACGAGCGAACGGAGACUACAUGCAACACCUUUUUAUUCAACUACCCCCCUCUCCUAAUCUCUGCACGCUUUGGAGAUUUUGUAGCUCAGAAUUCUGAAAUAUCCAUACAACAUUUGUUCUAUGUAAUUAAGAAUAUGUAGAAUGCUAAAAAUACAC
Gallus gallus (chicken) is the source of this 1645-nucleotide long non-coding RNA. The record is from Ensembl. Lineage: Eukaryota; Metazoa; Chordata; Aves; Galliformes; Phasianidae.